AGUGAACGCUGGCGGUAGGCCUAACACAUGCAAGUCGAGCGGCAGCACAGUAAGAGCUUGCUCUUACGGGUGGCGAGUGGCGGACGGGUGAGGCAUACAUCGGAAUCUACUUUUUCGUGGGGGAUAACGUAGGGAAACUUACGCUAAUACCGCAUACAACCUACGGGUGAAAGCAGGGGAUCUUCGGACCUUGCGCGAUUGAAUGAGCCGAUGUCGGAUUAGCUAGUUGGCGGGGUAAAGGCCCACCAAGGCGACGAUCCGUAGCUGGUCUGAGAGGAUGAUCAGCCACACUGGAACUGAGACACGGUCCAGACUCCUACGGGAGGCAGCAGUGGGGAAUAUUGGACAAUGGGCGCAAGCCUGACCCAGCCAUACCGCGUGGGUGAAGAAGGCCUUCGGGUUGUAAAGCCCUUUUGUUGGGAAAGAAAAGCAGCAGGUUAAUACCCCGCUGUUCUGACGGUACCCAAAGAAUAAGCACCGGCUAACUUCGUG
Molecule: ribosomal RNA, 492 nt
Filed under: uncultured bacterium
Lineage: Bacteria
Description: partial 16S ribosomal RNA
Rfam family: Bacterial small subunit ribosomal RNA
Source: RNAcentral